RNAcentral lists this long non-coding RNA (926 nucleotides) under Anas platyrhynchos platyrhynchos (common mallard). Its description in RNAcentral is "lncRNA (ENSAPLG00000021450.1)". Lineage: Eukaryota; Metazoa; Chordata; Aves; Anseriformes; Anatidae. The record is from RNAcentral.
CUUUGGCAGCCAUACCUUCACAUGCAAAAUACUUCAAAUACAUCUUUUGCUUCAUCACCUCCUUUUUGCUCCUAGCUGACCUGUAUGCUCACGUGCCAUGCUGCUCAGGUCUGAGAUCCUGCAUGCAGAAAAGGGAUUCCACGCCUGGACUGUAGAUCUAGGAAGUACUGGGUGAGGGAAUACCCAAAUCCACACAGGAGUCCAGCCUGGAUUGCAGAUUCCACUUGUUAAAACAAGAGUUCCCAGAGGGAGCCCUAACGGCAGGCUCCAGAUGGGGCAGGCACAACGUAUCAAACUGUAAUUCCACUCACGGGUUCGAGGAUCAAAUCCUAUAUCUCUCCAAAGGAUGUAAGUUGAAUUUGAUGCCUAAAUCCCAAAGCAUUUUGCUCAGCUGCUGCAUAACCCUGUACACUAUAGGAACAUGAAACUUUGCCUCUGUGCAUGCUCCCAGAUGCUUUAUAUUUGACAAUAUUGAGCAUUUUGGCAUCUGUGUUACACCUGAGUCCUUUCAGGUUUCACCGAGUGGAUGCUGUGCCAUCUGUCAGCGUGGAUGUUUGAUGCAUUUGACAUGCUCUCAGCCUAGUGCCUGGAACAGAAACUGGGAUCUUUACUGAAAGAGAGGAAAAGGAAAAUCUUGAGUUGUAGCCUCUUUUUUUUUUUUUUUCCUGCGGGCUGUUAUAUUAUGCAGGAUCUGAGUAAAAUAUUAAGUGGGCUCUAAAAUGCAUACAGUGAGAUCUGAAAUGUAGGACACCCCCCCCCUCCCCCCUCCCCCCCCCCCCCCCAGAAAAAAAAAAAAAAAAAAUCUCUUGCUGUGAAGGUAGCAGUCUAGGUUUGCUGCUGUGAGCUCUCUUGGUGCCUUGUUUUGCAACCAUGACCACACCACGACCCAUCUUCAACAAGAGAGGCAGUGACUGUCCUUGGCAUGG